GUUACCGCGGUGACCGCGGGGCCGCCGCUCCAGAAGGUUCCCGGGAUCGGGAAUCGGGAAAAUUCCCGGGAAUCGGGAAAAUUCCCGGAAAUCGGAUAAAUUCCCGGAAAUUCGGGAAAAUACGAGAAUUGCAGGAGUCGCGGCCUCGCUGUGCCACGGGAUGGCAGUAAAAUAAAGCUGCGGGCUCUUCCCGGCGCCUGGAAACCGGCGGGACAGAAAGCAUCAGGAGGCUGGAGCGAGGUAUCCAUGGGCUUUUCCAGGGAAACAGCCGUGAGGAGGAUGGAUGGAUGCCGUGAGGGAUGGAGCAAGGCCCGGGAUGCUCCAGGAUCAGCGUUCCAGGGCACAUCCCCUUCCCAAGGCUCUGGGACUGUUCAUUAUCGCUUCCCUGCCCUGCUCGGGAAUUUGUAACUUCCAGCUCAACAGGGAAAAAGUUUCAGCAGGAAAAAGCAAAUAAAGGGAAAACCCCCCAGCAGACCUGGAAUAGUCACAGGGAGGUUUCAGUCAAAAAAUGGAUUUGGGAGAUCUUUCCCAGCUUUAAACAUGGAAGAUUUUGAGAUGAAGUUCUAGCCUUAAAUAGAGAUUUUUAAUAAAUAAUAAAUAAGAUGAAUAAGAAAUUCAUCUUUUAAAUAAGAUGAAUUUCCAGGAGCAGGAGAAUUUGCAGAAUUUUGUGUUUGAUACAGGAAUUAUCUUAAAGAAAAUCCACCUGGCUGGUUUGUGACAAGUGAACAUUCCAGCCUGGAACGGCCCUAAAACCAACCAGAGCAUCUCUCUUAAUCAGAAUAUUGACAAGUAAUUAAUAAAUGGCCACUGUAAAUGAUUUAAUGACUAUGCUAAAGACGCUGCUUGUGGCGUUUUUAGUGUGAAUAAACUUUAUCUUCAGAGCAGUUUUAAAUAGUUCUAAAAUCUUGGAAUAACUGCGGUGCAGAGGUUGAGAUUAUAAAAUAUUUGUAAUAUUCUGUGUGUGGCUUGAAACAAAGCUGAAUUCUGUGUGUGAGCAAUAAACCCCAUCCCAACUGGCCUGA
This is a long non-coding RNA of Cyanistes caeruleus (blue tit), 1022 nucleotides long. RefSeq lists it as uncharacterized. Lineage: Eukaryota; Metazoa; Chordata; Aves; Passeriformes; Paridae. The record is from RefSeq and is a predicted model, not a curated record.